AUGGCGCGGAACGUGCCGGCGCUGCCCCCUACAGCGGUGGUGACGGGGGAGAUCACCGGCGUCGACAUCAUUGGGGGCAGGCCCGACUGUGUUCAUACAAGGGGAGGGGGAUUUGGAUCCGACGACAACGGAGACAAGGAGGUGCAAGGGCGGAGGGGCGGCGAGCUCGAUGGCGGGAAGAAGCAAGGGCAUGGAUCCGGUGCUGCUCGUCACUCCGCCCUUCGUUGCCCGUUGCUCCGGCGCAAAGAGGGACCUAACAGGGGAUGGUCGGCGGGGAGGCGCAAGGGCACAAUGGGGAGACGCGUUUGGCUGUGCCCCUGCAGUUGUCGGCAAGAGGGAUGCUGAGCUCCGCCGG
RNAcentral lists this long non-coding RNA (355 nucleotides) under Oryza sativa Indica Group (long-grained rice). Its description in RNAcentral is "lncRNA OsMH63_09G000640". The record is from RNAcentral. Lineage: Eukaryota; Viridiplantae; Streptophyta; Magnoliopsida; Poales; Poaceae.